Molecule: non-coding RNA, 10607 nt
Organism: Rattus norvegicus (Norway rat)
Lineage: Eukaryota; Metazoa; Chordata; Mammalia; Rodentia; Muridae
Source: RefSeq, a predicted model, not a curated record
CCUUCCUUCUAAAUGCAAAGGCAUCCUCACAGGAACAUUCAAGGCUCCCCCAGAGCAGAGAUUCUCAAAGCAAAGCCUUCAAACAAGUAGCAUCACCUGAAAACUUGUUAGAAUCACAGGCUGCCACCAGUGCAAUAGUGGCGUGUGGCGUGUGUGUGUGUGUGUGAAUGAGUGUUAUGUGUAUGUGUGAAUGAGUGUGUGUAUGUGUGUGUGUGUGAAUGAGUAUGUAUGUGUGUGCAAGCGUGUGUAUGAGUGUGUGCUUGUGUGAGUGUGUGUGCUUGUGUGAAUGUGUGUGUAUGUGUGAAUGAGUGUGUAUGUGUGUGUGAGUAUGUGUGAGUGAGUGUGUUUGUGUGUGUGUGAGUGUAUGUGAGUGUGUGUGAAUGAGUAUGUAUGUGUAUGUGUGAGUGUGUGUGUAUGUGAGUGUGUGUGUAUGUGAGUGUAUUUGAGUGUGUGUGAGUGUGUGAGUGUGUGUGAGAGAGUGUGUGUGUGAGAGUGUGUAAACCAACUGCUUUCUGAUUGGAUUUGAUGCCUGAUCCACAGGAGGGAACUCCUAUCAUGUGCUGUAAAUUCAGUCAGAAACCCGUGGGGGUGAGGGUUUCACAUGCGCUAGUCUUGGAAGUUACAGAUAUCAUUUUGCUAUGCAGACACAAUGUGUGUAUGGAAUCAUCUUGUCAUGGCUAUUUAUGCCCAUAAAAUGGUGCUGCCUAUCAGCUUUGGCCAGAGUAGCUUCCUCUUACAAUUUGGUUUGUAUUUUUAAAGGUGGCUUUAACUGAGCACCGCACCUUCGUGCUCUGUUAACUGAAUACCUCGCCUUCCUGCUCGGAAUUUGUCCAACCUGGUCCUGACUACCUGGUAACACAGCUGGAGUAAGGACCUUGGGAUCUGGUUCCCCCUCACCCUUCACCCGCAGGGCCUUGGACUAGUCCUCCAAUCCUUUCCACCUUAAUGGGGCUAAUAGCACCUACGUGACCCAACCUACCAGCUGAGUGAGUAUUAAAUCUACUGCUCAACAUGAGAGCCUUUAAAAAAUAUCUCAGUUAAUUAAUUAGUUGACUAAUUAACUAGUUAAUUUUGAGGUGGACAAGGAUUCGCUGUGUAACCCAGAUUGGCAUCAAACCUGCAGUGAUCCUUCUGACUCCACCUUUCGAGAGUGCCAGGAUUACAGACCCGUGCCAGCAUGCCUGUCUUGACAGUAUACCUUUCAUAAGCACAGAAAGCACAUGAAAGGUCAGAAGGUGGCUUCAUUUCUGCCUUCAGAGUUGCAAGACUACCUGACGAAAGCAACUUAAUGGAGGUUUGUGCCGGCUCACAGUUCCUGGGUACGGCCCAUCAUGGUGGGUGGGGAAGUCACGGCAGCAGGAGCCUGAGGUGGCUGGUCACAUUGCAUCUACAGUCGGGAAGCAGACACUGACAGAUGCUAGUGCUCAGUCAUUCUUAUUCAGUCCUGGGCUCUGGCCACAGACUGGUGCUGCCCACCUUUAGGGUGGAUCUUUCCACCCCAAUUAACCCAAUUUAAACAGUCCCUCGCAGACGUGUGCAGAGGCCCAUCUCCUCUGUGAUGUUUACAUCAUCGUAAGUCAAUUGAAGAACGUUGGAGUGAUUAUGAAUGGACACAGAAAAUGUGGUUCUUUUAUACAAUGGAAUACUAUUCAGCUACUAAAAACAAGGACAUCAUGAUGUUUGCAGGCAAAUGGAUGGAACUAGAAAAUAUCCCGAGUGAGGUAACCCAGACCCAAAAGGACAUGCAUGGUAUGUACUCACUGAUAGGUGGAUAUUAGUCACAUGAUACAACCCACAGCCCAUAAGAAGCUAAACCAGAAGGAGGGCCCAAGUGUGGAUGCUUCAAUCCCAAUUAGAAGGAGGAACAAAAUAAUCAUGGGAGGCAGAGGGAGGGAGGGACCUGGGUAGGAGAGGGGAAGGGAGAAGGGGGUGCAGGAUCAGGAGAGAAGCCCAGAGGGUCAGGAGAAUGAAUAGAAAUGUGCAGCUGCGAGGGAGUGGGGGUGAGGUGUGGGGGUUGGGGGAGUGGGAGGAACCUCUAGAAAGAUCCAGAAACCCAGGAUGUGAGAGAGGCUCCCAGGACAGCCAUGCUAGGCUCCUGUCUACAACAUGACUGAGACAGAUGUCUGAAACUUACAACCAACCACUGGGAGAGUUAGGGGAAGGAUUGAAGGAGCUGAAGGGGAUGACAACCCCAUAGGAAGACCAAUAGAGUCAACUAACCCUGAGCCCUGGGAGCUCCCAGAAACUGAGCCAUCAACCAAAGAGCAUGCACGGGCUGAUUCGAGGCCCUGGCACAUCUGUAAGCAGAGCACGGACUACCUUGUCUGGCGUCAGUGGGGAGAGGAUGCAUCUAAUCCUGUAAAGAAUUGAUGUCCCAGGGUAGGGGGAUGUGGGGAGAGAACCCUCUCAGAAGCUAAGGGGAGGGGGCCUAGGGGACAACAUUUGGGAUGUAAAUAUAAAAUAAUUAAUUAAAAAAAGAAAUAGUAACAAUAGAUUGAGAUAGGAAAAUACAGUAUGAAUGUACACCUUAGAAAGUGUAGACUUGCAGGGGAAGUUAAGCAAACAGGAAGGAAAAAAUGGUAACAUUCAUAGUGAGAAAGUUGACUCCAAUUCGAAAAUUGGUUAAUGAUAUUUAUCAAUAAAAAUGAAAUUAAAAAGUCUUUUGUAAGCAAAAAUGUGGCUUCUGCUCUCAGAAAAGUUGCAACCCAACAAGGAGCAUGAAUAAACAGUGGUAACAGUAUUUUGUAAAUGUAUAUAAUGUAUAUGUAUAUGAUGUAUAUGAUGUAUAUGUAUGUAUAUGUGUAUGUGUAUAUGUAUAAGUGUGUAUGUAUAUAUGAUGCAUAUGUAUGUUUAUGUAUAUGUGUAUAUGUAUAUGAUGUAUAUUAUGUAUAUGUGUAUGUGUGUAUGUAUAUAUGAUGCAUAUGUAUGUUUAUGUAUAUGUGUAUAUGUAUAUGAUGUAUAUUAUGUAUAUGUGUAUGUGUAUAUGUAUAUGUGUGUAUGUAUAUAUGAUGCAUAUGUAUGUUUAUGUAUAUGUGUAUAUGUAUAUGAUGUAUCUAUAUGUUUAUGUGUAUGUGUAUGUGUAAUGUAUAUGUAUAUGAUGUAUAUGUAUAUUAUAUGUAUGAUGUAUAUUUAUGUUUAUGUACAUGUGUAUGUGUAUACGAUAUAUAUGAUGCAUAUGAUGUAUAUGUAUGUUAUGUGUAUGUAUAAUGUAUAUGUAUAUGAUGUAUAUGUAUAUAUAGUAUCUGCAUAUACGUAUGUACAUGUAUAUAAUAUAUAAUGCAUAUAUAGUAUAUAUGAUGUGUGUGUGUGUGGCCACAGGGUCCUUGGGAGAGGAAUAAGCAAUGGACUACAAUAAGAAGCUUGGACUUGGGAGUUGACAGAAUCCACAGAGGAGUAUGAUAUGAUGUAGACCUCGAGAGGAUAAGCCACAUGAAGGCAGUGACUUCGGCAAGUCUUACAUAUCCUGAGGGCCUAGAACACUUAGUGGCUGCCCAGAAAUACCGGCUGGUUUUUGACUUGGCUCAUUUGGGAUGCUGGAGGCAAAGAAGCAAGCCUACUGUCCAUUGAUGAUGAGCUGACAGUUGGUAACCAACUUCCAAGGAGGAUCUGAGCUCAUUCUAGGGCAGAAGCAAUUUAUUCCCUCCCACCCUCCCCCUCCUUGUCAAGCUGAAAGUUGAGUCCUAACCUUGCACGAAGCUCUGGUAAGCUGAUUCCUGAAGAGUCUUCUUUGCUGAGGGUCUCGGGUUAAGAGAGAGUUCUGGAGCAUUGAGGAAGGGCUCCUAUGAUGCAAGAUGGUGAGGGGAUCCCCACUUUGGGCUGAGUGAGGGAGUUUGCAUGCCUGCGAGAUGAGUCAGAGUAGCUGUGCCUGUUCAGAGAUUUUCUCCUGAGCUGAAUAUAGUAUUGCCCACCUAGAAUCCCAGAAUUUGGGAGGAUGAAGCAGGAGAAUUGCUCUUCACCCAGCAACUUUGAUGUUAGCCUGUGCUACAGAGCCGAUCUCAAAAAAACAGUGGGGCUGGAAAGACAGCCCAGCUGUUAAGGGCACCAGCUAUUCUUGCUGAGGACCCACAUUUGAUUCUCAGCACCGGGAAGGAAGUUCACAAGUAUCUGUAGUUCCAGUUCCAGGGAGCCUAACAUUCUCUUCAGGCCUUUGCACACACUAGGCAUACACACAUUACACAGACAUACGUGCAGGCACCCACCCAAAUUUCUUUUUAAUUAAGAUACAUAGAUUUCAAGGAUGGAGAAAUGGCCUAGUGGUUAAGAGCAUUUGCCGUUUAUGCCGGGGAUCACAACCGCCUGCACAUUCUGCCCAGGGAUCCCGAUGUCUUCCUCUUGCCUUUUGUACUUGCAGGGAAUCCUAGAUUUGAUCCCCAGAAGAACAUAAACCCAGGAGGUGGAGACAGAAAGAUCAAUGUCAUCCUCCAUUAUUUAGUGAAUUUGAGGCCAACCUGUAUUGCAGAGAGUCUGCGUGUUGACAUCUGUGUCACAAGCAAACAAGAAACAAUGAAAAGAAUGCCUAAAAAAAUGGAACAAAAAAGCCCCGUUUUCCCCAUUCUCUGAGGACCCGUUGUCUGAGCCUUGCAGGCUCGUCUAUGAUGAAGCAGUGGCUGAGUGGAGUAGAGGAGGAGUUUGGAUGUUAGUGCUGAUCUUGCCAGCCAGUGCUCUACACUCUGAGUCAAACCUACAAGAGAGGGAGCACUGCCAGUCAGGGACCCAGUGCUCAGCCCAGCCCCUCAGGUCAAACCCACCUCUAAGCUACAUUUUCACGUGUCCAAAAGGAACAGUUAAGCCUGUACUGUCUUCCUUUCCGUGCAGUCUGGGGAUCAAGUGGAAAUAAUGUAUAUGAAAAUGUUCCUAACAGGAUAAAGAGCUUUGCCAGGAUGAGAAAUUGCUUUUAUUUCAAAUGAUGUCAAGGGUGAGAUUUCUAAGAAGUCAUUUGGGUGGGUUGUUAUUUGAAAUUGUGUUUUGCUCUGUGUGUGUGUGUGUGUGUGUGUGUGUGUGUGUGAGAGAGAGAGAGAGAGAGAGAGAGAGAGAGACAGAGACAGAGACACAGACACAGACACAGACACAGACACAGACACAGAAACACAGAGACACAGAGAAACAGACACAGAGAGACAGAGAGACAGAGAAACAGGCAGACACACACAGACAGAGACAGAGAGAGACAGUGACAGACACACAGAGAGACAGAGACAAGCAAACAGGCACAGAGAGAGGGGGAGGGGAAGGAAAGAGGUAGAGGAGGAGGGAGAAGAAGAGGGGGAGGGGAGGGAGAGAGAGGGAGAGGUGGAGGGAGAGGGAGAGAGAUCAGGGCCUGCUUUAUCCAGAACCAGAGUAAAUGUGGUGUGAAUACCCAGUUUAUUCUGAGGUAUUCUGAUGCUGAUCGGAUGAGCACAGAUCCCACUAAGUCCUGAGCUAGGAUCUUUAGGGCUACUGGAAGGAGGAGAAAAUGGGCCAGCACCUCAGUUUUCUCAGGACCUCAGUAGCUAUUUGUAGAAACCGAUCUGUUCUCUGCCCAGAGCCACCGUUCUCUUCUUCCACUCCACAACUUGUAUGUCUCGAAUGUCUUAUUAUUCCUAGCUAAAAAAAUGAGAAGACUUGGGGUCAGAGAGGUCUAGCUCUUUGGAAACUGGCAGCAAUGGCCUCAGAGUGACGAUGUGUCGUCUGCUUUCAAAACCCAGCAGCUUUCCUCGUGCAUUAGCUGUUUCCCUUGCUGUGAGAACAGACUCCAUGUGUAGACGGGGCUCGCCUCAAACUCAGAGAUCCAUCUGCUUCUGUCUCCCACCUCCUAGGACUACCUAACUCCAACCGAUAACCACUCACAAAGGAAGAUGUGUGUUUGUUUUCUAGUGAGAAAGAGUGUGGAGCCAAGUAGAAGAGAUGCAGGCUGUGUGUUCUCACCAGAGAAACGAAUCUUCAACCUUGGGCACCCCAAAACCAUGAGCCGUGGCAAAUCUUUCCCCCUCUUGAUGUGGCAUCUCAGGCUAUUACCUCACAGUCACAGAGAACUGACUAGCACACUUGGUGUGGGUCUGUUGGAGAGCAAAGGCAGAAUAACGAAAGAACCCAACGUGCGCCUUCUGAUGCUUUCAAGGUGUCUCCAUCUGUUUUCUGCUGCUAUAGUAAAAUGCUUGAUACUAGGCAAUUUGCAAAGGAAAGAGGCUUAUUUAGGUUAAUGGAGAGUGGGAUGCUGGAGAAUCUGGUGACAACAUCUGUCAAGUUUCUCCAGAGGGUCUUGUUCUGCUUCAACCCAUGGCAAAAAGUGGAAGAGCGAGUGGCUGCAGGCUCGAGAGGCAGGACACAGGUGUGGCCUGGCUUCAUGUCAGCCUGCUCUUGUGAUAGCUGAUCUUGUUGUCUGCAUUAAUCCCUCUUGUGGAACUAGUCACCUCUUAGAGGCUUCAUUACCCCACCACCCAGCACAUUAGACGAGGAAUCGAAUUCCAGCGUGCACUUCAGAGGAGACAACCCAUAUUCAAACCCCAGCAGGAGGAGCUAAAGCAGGAGGCUUUGGUGUCACGCCCACACCACAGAAACAACAUUAUCCAGGCUGGCGGCACAACUAGCCAUAUCAUCCCUAUGCGUAAAAUAAAGAUAUGGGGUCAGGUGAUGUCUGAGAUGCUUUCUAGUCCUCACAUGUUUUUGUAAGCCAAGGGUGGGCUUGAUGUGGAGCGUCUGACUGGGGUCAGCUAGAGGAAGAAACCAUGUGAGCUCCCAGUGAGAGAGGACGUCGGUUUGGGAAGAUGAGACAUGGUCAGUCGUGUGAGCAUAACUGGAUGAGGGUGUGGCACCUGCUGAAACAACAGACGCGUCAUCCCCGACAGACCCUGCAGCCUAGGUGGAGUUUCUGGGCUUGUAAAACACUAACCCAAACAUGGCAAGACGUUAAUCUGUAGGGGACAGAUUAGUGUGUAUGUGGCUCAGCUGACCACAGGGCAGGGACUAGGGAUGGCAAUGGCCAGAAAUGGGGCAGGGAACCGGGCUGUGAACUCGUCCGGUUCUUAGCUCCACUUUUCCUUUUGUGGCAUGUGCAUGUGCCUGUCUGUGUGGAGUCCUUCUUCUUCAGGAGCAGAUGAGUAAACUGGACUUACCUGUCUUGGGCUUCCCUUCCCUUCCCUUCCCUUCCCUUUCCUUGUGUGUAAAAACACAUAUCUGUGUGAAGUCCUUUUCCGGGAGUAGUCCAGUCUACCUUGUGUUUUGAGACAGACUCUCUCACUGGGACUCGGACCUGCUGGUUAAGCCAGUCUGGCUGGCUAAUGAAUCCCAAGGAUCCUUCCCACCCUGCCUCCUCAGUGCUGGGACUAAAAGCAGCAGCACCACGAUCCCCAUCCCUUUUCGAUGUGGGUGCUGGAGACUGGACUUAGGUUCUCAUGCUUCUUGCCCAGCAGCGACUUUACCCACUGAGCUCUCUCCUGGUCCCUCCCUCUCACCUCUCACCUCUCACCACGCUGUUGAGACUCUCAAUCCAGGCUGGCCUCAUCCUCACUGUGGUGAUGAGAAUGGCCUUGAACUUCUGACUUUCCUGUCUACAUCUCAAAACCUGGUUUACAUUUUACUGGAGAGAAAGCCUGGGGCUUCUUGGAUGCUAGGUAACAAUAUCCAACUGAAGUCCAUCCUGAGACCUCUACUGACUAUUUCUUUAUGCUGAGCUAUUUGGGCUGAGCGCGCUGGGGCUCUUUAAUGCUGGGGAGGGGAAUGUCAAUCAAGAUGACACACACAUGGGGAGGUGGGGUUGACUGAUUGGUGUGCAUAUGAGAAGUGGUAUAAUUUUAUCUUCUAACCCAGCCUGGCAGGGCCUGGGAGUUACUUAGUUUUUAAAGAAGGAAGACAAAAACCAGCAUAUACGAGUCUGUGGUUGUGCUCACAUGGGUCGCAGCUUGUGAGGAGGCAGCUGAAAUCCCAAAUCAAUAAGGUAAUUGAGUCAUUUCCCUCAAGAGUCUCAGGCUAUUACUUUAAGUGGACACAGGGCAGUCGGCUGUGUUUGUUGAGCUGUAAUCAGCUUUGGACUCAUUGGACACAUUGAUCUCUUCUAACACCAUUCGGUGUUUGCACUGAACUGGGAGAGGUUGUCUCUGUCUCCUCCGUCCGUUCCUCCCUCAGUCCUUUCCUCCCCAUUCCCCGGGCUUCCAAAGAACCAAAGCAAAUGCGUAUUUUCCUCUGCCAGCUAGGCCGGAGGCUUUCUGCUCCCCAUCACUUGUUCUAACAGCAAAAAUCAAUUUUCCAAGACUCUACACUUCUACACACACACACACACACACACACACACACACACACACACACACAUCCUCCUCUCAACAAAUGUGCUUUUUAAUUUAGGAAAAGCGUCAAAACAACAGGUCCACUAUAGUUCUACAGUGUGUCCUAGGGCAGAAAAGCAGUUCCCAACCCGGCAAGGGACAUUGUCCUCAUUGAAGCUGCUCCCAACUCUGGUCAGCUCACAAUCCCAACCUUUGUGAUGACCAAAGAAUCAUGGCCUGUCCCCUUCCCCUCAGACUCCACCCUGCUGGCCCCCAAAGGUCACUGUCAGUGAUGUCACGGAAAAGUAUGUGUUAGAGCCUGUCCUCAGAGGCAGCCCUGGAAACUGCUGGUGGAUUCCAGAAAGUUGGCAGCGUUGCACUCCUUUUACUGAGCCCUGGCCCUGAGAAACGUCUCCAUCUUGAAUGCAGGACACAGGGGAAGGACUCCACUGUGGCUGGUGUGACCUGGAUGGGUGACCCCUCGGACAGUGUGGAUGCUCUGACUUCUACUGUGGUUUCCAUAUUCUUUCCCCUGGCAGUCCAUGGAGUACGGGGGGUGGGAGGGGACUUAGUCCUUCCCCCUAGUCCCUAGCCUCUCCUUGUAGAGCUACUUUUUCUCUUCUUUGUACUUGUCCCCCUUUGCGUCCCCACCCCCUCCCCCUCAUCUUCAGUAGAUUCACACACAGAAAUGCAGUCUCAGGCACAUCCCAUCCUGCAUCCAGAGCUCUCUAUUAACCCUCUCUGGCUCUAACUGGGGACCAGAGAAAAAAAUCCAACCAAAGCCCAGAUGUGUCAGCAGUGCCUUUAGCUAUAACCCACACAGGCUGCUCGCCUGGCAAGAGAUUCUCCCAAAGAGCCUAAGGCAUCAUGGGAAAUGUAGAAAGGCUCUCACACUCCAGAAGAAAAUCUCUACCAACCUAAGAACAUACAUGGGCCAGCCCUAGCUUCCCCUGCACAUAUGCAGCAGAUGUGCAGCUUGGGUCCUGAAUUUAUUCAUCUGGGUCCUGAAUAAAUGGAGCGGGGACUAUCCCAAAAGCUGUUUCCGGUAUGUGGGAUAUGUUCUUCUAGCUGGGCUGCCUUGUCUGGGCUCAAUAGGAAAGGAUGCGGUUAGCCUCGCAGACUCGAUGUGCCAGCGUGGAGGAAUACAUGGGGUGGGAGGAGCACCCACUCAGAGGAGAGGGGAGGGGGGUUCAAGAAGGGAGUGGUGGGGGGCAGUGAGUGGAAUGUAAAGUGAAUAAGUGAAAAUAAAUAAGUAGAUUAAUAGAUAGACAGAUCAUUAGAUAAAUAAAUAAAUAGUUGACCAUCUUAGUGCUGCCUACAGGACUUGCACUGUUCUAGGUAUCUGCAUGUGACUUCCAAUGAUGCUUUAAGCUUCCUCUGUUGGGAGCUGACUGCACUGUGAAUUUUAAGCUAAAGAAACCAAGGCGGGGUAAGGAGGUGUUAAAUAGCUAGGUAAGUAAAUUGUUUACCUUAUAAGGUUGAGGGCCUGAGUACUGAUCUAUAAAACCCACGUUCUAAAAGCCAGCUAUGGUCGCUUGUGCUUGUUAUUCCAAGUCCGUGAAGCAGAGGCAGGCAGAUCCCUGAGGCUCUGUGGCUGAACAGCCUAGCUACAUUUUGUUGCUGUUAAAAAGAAGAAAAAUAAUAAACAAACAAAUAAAUAAGGAAAUAAAUAAAAUGGUCAGUGUUUGAGUAUUGACAUGAAACUAGGUUGUCUCUGACCUUCACAAUCACACACACACACACACACACACACACACACACACACACAUGCCCGUGCAUGCACACAUUCAUAAGCACAGACACCAUAGACAGACAGACACAUACACACACAUGCCCAUGUAUGCACACAUAAACAAGCACAAACACACAGACAGACAGACAGACAGACACACACACCCAUGUAUGCACACAUACAUAAGCACAGACACACAGACACAGACAGACAGACAGACAGACACACACACAUGCCUGUGCACACACACAUUCAUAAACACAGACACGCAUAGAUAGACAGACAGACAGACAGACACACACCCAUGUAUGCACACAUACAUAAGCACAGACACGCAGACACAGACAGACAGACAGACACACACACAUACGCGCGCGCACGCGCACACACAAAUACUCUGAGGCCAAGUGGUGCAGCCAAAUAGCAGUUUUAAAAGUAAGCUUUUUGACUUGAAAUCUAUGACUCUGUACUACCCUGCUCUUUGAAACUGCAUUAGGUAGCCAGGAUUAUUUACCCUACAGAAGGGAGGGGAUGUGUAUAUGCUUACACGCGCACACACACACACACACACACACACAGAGAGAGAGAGAGAGAGAGAGAGAGAGAGAGAGAGAGAGAGAGAGAGAGAGUAACAGAAA